GUCAUUAUUUCCUUAUGUGAUAUGGGAAGAAAGAUCUCAUAUGAGAGUAGUGUUUAUUUGCAUUUUGUUUUUGUACUUGUUCAUCUUAUUAUAUCAAGUUUGUGUUAUUUGAUUACUAGAGUUCGUCUCGAAAUCCCAGUUUGUGACAAGGCAUGACAUAGCCUAUAUCUUUUGAUUUUUUCUUUUGUCGUUGAUUUCACAAUUUUUUCGUUUUUGUUGUUAAUUUGGUUUUAUCGAGAUUGGGUAGUAGCUUAAUAUUGUUAUUUGUGAAGAGGGUGUUUUCAAAUUUAAAAGUUUUUGAAGUGGUUCUUAUCCAUCUGUUUGCACUACUCAAUCUGUUUUUCAAGUGGUUAAGCACACUCUCUUGUUUAGAAUAAAAACUUAUGUCAUGCUAUCUUUUUCAUUUUCUUAAGGCUGUGUUUACUUGAUUUCAAGAAAUGAACAAAGCAUUCUCAAUUUGAUCACUAUGCUUACUAUUCUUGGUAGUCACAUACUUAAACUUGCCUGUUUAGUUUCGUUAAAAUGUGAUUCAAAACCAAUUAUGUACUCAUGCUUCUAGACUAUAUACCAAUAUUUCUAUAUGGUAAUCACUGCAACUGCUGAUUCAUACUCACUUACACCCCUGCUUAAAGUUGCCUCAUUUUCUCACUCAUAGCAAUGCCAAUUUGAAUUUCAGCAACGGCCCUUUGUUUAUUUCCUCCUCAAAUCUGAAUGAAGGGAUUCAUUUGCUUGAUUGUUCGUUUUUGUUAGUGUUAUCUUUCGGUAUAUUUCUUUUUCAGUUGUGUUUUAGUUAUAGGCUUCGGAAAGAGAAAUUGAUGAAUUCGAUGGAAUGAGUGUUACUUUGGUUGCAAGAAUCCUCAUAUAAAAGUAGAGAAGAGAGCCAAAUAUAUAACACCAUCAUCACUUUUGUUUAUCUUUGUAUAAUUAAACCGAAUUUGGAAUGCUUUAGGAAACAAAUUGCAUCAGAUCACAGGAUCUUAUGCAGUUGUUUAGAUAAAUGAUCACCACUAUAUAUCCAUCUAUAUAGUUUCAUUGGCAUGUGUAGAGGAGAGAUGGGUAGGUAAGUGGCAUUGAGAUUAAUUACUGCAAACAAUUACUACUCACUUUUCUUUGUUCCCUCUUCUCCCACUGUAUGAAUAUAUAUGUGACUGAUGAUGUUAGAUGAAUCUGGUAUUGCAAUUUGAUCAAAAUCGCUAUUUUUCACAAUUUGUGUUUCAACCUAUUACAUACUCUCUUUCUCUUGAUAACUCCCUUACAGACUGCAUGUUGGUUCUAUAACUCUCUUCUCAAGAAGGGGAUAUUUUUGGACUCCGGCGGCCUGUAAUCAUGGUGUAAAUA
Molecule: long non-coding RNA, 1338 nt
Filed under: Medicago truncatula (barrel medic)
Lineage: Eukaryota; Viridiplantae; Streptophyta; Magnoliopsida; Fabales; Fabaceae
Description: lncRNA gene2237
Source: RNAcentral